CUUUAUAUAAGUGAUUGAUACUUUGGUGGUUCGGUGUUGGAAAUGGAUUCUAGUGGCAAACGGGUGAGUAACGCGUAGGCAACCUGCCCUUCAGAUGGGGACAACAUUUCGAAAGGAAUGCUAAUACCGAAUGACGUGCGUUGGUCGCAUGACCGAUGUACCAAAGGCCGGGCAACCGGUCACUGAAGGAUGGGCCUGCGUCUGAUUAGCUGG
This is a ribosomal RNA of Anaerovibrio lipolyticus, 213 nucleotides long. It matches the Rfam family "Bacterial small subunit ribosomal RNA", at positions 1 to 248 of the family's 1533-position model. The record is from Rfam. NCBI's taxonomy places the organism in Bacteria, Bacillati, Bacillota, Negativicutes, Selenomonadales, Selenomonadaceae.